UGCAUCGGCCGGGAUUCGAACCAGGGCCGCCCGCGUGGCAGGCGAGCAUUUUACCACUGAACCACCGAUGG
Molecule: transfer RNA, 71 nt
Filed under: Cordylochernes scorpioides
Lineage: Eukaryota; Metazoa; Arthropoda; Arachnida; Pseudoscorpiones; Chernetidae
Description: tRNA-Gly
Source: RNAcentral